RNAcentral lists this long non-coding RNA (802 nucleotides) under Melopsittacus undulatus (budgerigar). RNAcentral describes it as "lncRNA (ENSMUNG00000007094.2)". The record is from RNAcentral. Lineage: Eukaryota; Metazoa; Chordata; Aves; Psittaciformes; Psittaculidae.
AAAAAAAGAACAGAAAAAAAGCCCAAAAAUAGCUUCCAUACACAGUCCACCCCAGUGUAAAAAUGCAGAAGUUCAGAGGGAGCUUUAUCACUUCCUGAGAAAGAACAGAUGCAGUUUGGUUUCAUUUACAUGAACUGUAGAGGCUCCUUGUGUUAGCCAGGCUGCUUUAUUUCCUUUUUAUUCCCUUCUUUCUCUUAAAUAUUGGUUUCUGCUUAGGCGAAGGAUCAAGUUGAAGCAUUUCACUCUGCUUGUGAGGAAGCCGCAUCCUUGAAAUGCAAGUUAGAGGAAGCCAUUUCUGAGCAGCAGAAACUCAAGGAUGUGAAUGAAGCUUUAACAAGCACUUGCCAGUUGCUUCAAGAAAAGGUGGAAUACCAGAAAACAACCACUAAUGCGCUGAGAUGGGAACUGCUUCAAAGGAGACUCUGUGAAUUGCUAUGUCAGUGCUGUGCAGAGCUAGAUUCUGACUACAGUGUGCUGCCCUCAUCAACUGAGCUGGUAAAAGAUAAGCAGCUCCAUUGCUCUAAGCGACGGUGGAGUGAAGGAGACACCUUGGGCACUGAACUUCCCCGGGUACUGCCCUCAGAUGUUUCAUACUGGCAUAGUACACUUCUGCUAGAUGCUCUGAACUUGGAAACCUCAUGUGCAAAUAACCCUCCUGAUCACGGCUGGGAUAGGCCUUGUAGACAGAACACUGACAGCUGUGUGUUCGAAAGCUGCCAUCCGGGACACGGGUCCACUUCAGAUGUGACAUCAGUGGGGUACAGGUGGAAAAUAUGCUCUGCUGGUAACUGUACUGAUGCAG